GGAGCGGCAGCCUGGACAGGCGGCAGGUACUCGUUGGGCAGCUCGUUCACAUCACGACGGUGACGACGGAGCACCACGCGCCUUUGGGUCUUGUAACGGUAGCCAUCAUCGCCAAAGGUGGUCUCAGGAGCAGCGUCAACGGGAGCCAGGUACUCGUUGGUGGG
RNAcentral lists this small RNA (164 nucleotides) under Drosophila erecta. Its description in RNAcentral is "GG26612". Lineage: Eukaryota; Metazoa; Arthropoda; Insecta; Diptera; Drosophilidae. The record is from RNAcentral.